RNAcentral lists this ribosomal RNA (253 nucleotides) under uncultured bacterium. Its description in RNAcentral is "partial 16S ribosomal RNA". It matches the Rfam family "Bacterial small subunit ribosomal RNA", at positions 524 to 776 of the family's 1533-position model. The record is from RNAcentral.
UACGUAGGUGGCAAGCGUUGUCCGGAUUUACUGGGCGUAAAGAGCGCGCAGGCGGUCGUUCAAGUCGCGUGUGAAAGCCCCCGGCUCAACUGGGGAGGGUCACGCGAUACUGAUCGACUCGAAGGCAGGAGAGGGUACUGGAAUUCUCGGUGUAGCAGUGAAAUGCGUAGAUAUCGAGAGGAACACCAGUGGCGAAGGCGAGUCUCUGGACAAUUCCUGACGCUGAGGCACGAAAGCUAGGGGAGCAAACAGG